This 253-nucleotide ribosomal RNA is filed under the name uncultured bacterium. RNAcentral describes it as "partial 16S ribosomal RNA". It matches the Rfam family "Bacterial small subunit ribosomal RNA", at positions 524 to 776 of the family's 1533-position model. The record is from RNAcentral.
UACGUAGGCCCCAAGCGUUAUCCGGAAUUACUGGGCGUAAAGAGUUCGUAGGCGGCGCGGAAAGUCAGAUGUGAAAGACCGGGGCUCAACCCCGUGUUAGCAUCCGAAACUUCCGUGCUAGAAUGAGGGAGAGGUAAGCGGAAUGGUAUGAGUAGGGGUGCAAUCCGUUGAUACAUACCAGAACACCAAAAGCGAAGGCAGCUUACUGGAACUCUAUUGACGCUGAGGAACGAAAGCGUGGGGAGCGAAAAGG